GAAAGAAUGUGUAGCCCUGUCCAAUUAGACACAUGCAUAAAAGACAUUUAAAAGGCAUAAAAAGACAAUCAGAUUUCAUAAAUGUUUAAAAAUGAGUGAUUUUGUAUGUAAAUAAGUUAAAAGAGCCACAAAGUUCAUUCAGUUAAAAAACAUAGAAUUCAUUUGAAAUGUAUUUACAGUGUAAAAUGUAUAAAGUUCAUUUAUGUGUGAAAUUGAAAGAGAUGAAUAAGUUUUGGUUUCAUUGUUUCCUUAAAAGAUGUGCACACUAUCUUGAUUUUGUUUCAGUUGUCACUCAUGGUGUUUUUUUGUUGUCACUGGUUUGGUUGUGACUUAAUAGCCAAUCAGAGAUCUUCUUUUGCGUAAGGGGCGGGACAAGUGGCGCACGGUGCUGUAACAGGAAGAAAAAAUAGAUCUCUCUCAUGUCAGCCGUGAUCCGCGAGGAAACAUCGUGAUUUGUGGAGAACAUUCAAGUUAUAUGGAAGAUUGACUCCCAGUUGAUCCAGAGUGUGACUGUUGUGAUCUGCAUCAGGUAACAGAUAUGUGUAUUUCUGUGCUAUAACUUGUGGUUGCAGUGCUAAAGGAAAUCAUGUGUCUGGUGCUACAUAGCGACUAGCUGUUAGCUUUGGCAUUUCAAUGAGCCUCAAUAUGCUCAGUUUAAGCCUUGUAUGAGCACAUACUUAUAAUAAGUGUGAGUUGAACUAAGUGAAAUAUCCUUGCAUCAGAUGUGGACUGAGAGAGAGCCGGUUGGAGCGUCGACCAGAGGCCCGGCGGAGUUUCUGCUGUUUCUUCAGUGUUAUCUUCAGUUUCGUUUCUUCAAUGAUAUCUUCAGCUUCGUUUCUUCAGUGAUCUGAGUUUGUUUCAUCUCAUCAUCAUCACCAUCUUCACAAAAGACCAUCUACUCCUCUGUUCCCUUGUGACUGCUACCACUCGUUUCCCCAUUCAUCCUAUUAACCCCCUUGGAUCCGUGAGUACUCAAAAGAAUUACUAAAAGUGCACAUUUUAUUUUCUGUUGCUCAAUUUGGAGUGAAGCGGCCCCACAGUUUCUGGCCUCACCGCUCCCCAGCUUCGAAUCAGGCCUGCAACAUGGUUAUUUGCAAAAUGAAUGUUUGAGGAGUGUGUGAGUGUGGGCCCACAAAUUUGAUUUAUGUUGGUUUUGUUGUUGUGAUACAAAUAUAUCUGGGAUUUUGUAAAUAAUAUCUAAAAAGGUAUAAAAAGAGGUUUUUCAUGAAAAAGGGUUAAUUCAUAAGAAAAAAGGUUUGAAAGAAAAUUCAUAAAAAGGACUGAUAUUUAGUUUUUUGUCUCUGUAUAUAUUUUAUAUUUUGUUAAAACACAUUUUCAUUUAGAAUUUCAUUAUUUUAUUUCAUUGAUACAAAAUAAACCCUGUUUGGAGGAUCAUUGUCUUAAAAGUUCAGUUGUUGUGUCCCUUAUUUGUGUUAGCUAAUUUUACUAGUUCAUACCGAACUCAGGCCCCAUCCCACAGUUACGUGAGAUCCGGGUUACAUAAUGGAGGCACUGCUGGGAUCAAAUUAAACAAAAAUUCAGAAUAAGAAAAUAAAAUAAAUAAGAAUCUCAUGGACACAACAACUUUUAAGAGCAAUAACUGUAUUUUCUAACAGUAAUAAGAACUAAACAGUCCCAAAAUUAACAGAAAAAAAAAGGAUUUCAAAAUGAGCAGUCCCUCACAACUUGAUCUGGUUAACUGGUGCAGAGGAGAAUCAGUAGAUGUAAGACAUGCCCUCCUACUUUAUGGAGUACCUGAAAGUAUAUCAACAGCCGAGAUUGAAGAAACAGCAGAGACUAUCAAAGUCUUAGGCAGAGUGGUGGUUAGGGGAAAAAUGUUUCACCCUCAACAACAGUCCUUAAUGGUAUUGUGUGAGUGCCGUGAGCCAAUAGACCCCACAAGAAUACCCCCAGAAGUGAUGCACAUAAGUGGUGGAAGUGCCUGGAAAUCAGUGUACUAUAAAGAGCCCCAACCUGAACAGUUUGAAGAAAAGUUACUCAUUUUUCUAAAAAAUGAAGGAAAAACCUUGGAGGAUCUCCAAAGUGCACGUAGCUCUCAAGCAACAGAAGACAGCAACACUGAGGCUGUCAUCCGUGCAGUUGGAGAAAUAAUGGGCAAAACAAACAGACAAACAGACAGCCAUGCCUACAGAAGAUUACGAACUUUCUCCGGAGUCAGUCCCACACCCACGGGAGAGGAGUCCCUCCACGUCUGGCUGGAGCAAGCAACGCUUCUAGUUGAUGAAGGUGAGUGCUCUGACAAAGAGAAACGGCGACGGAUCUUGGAAAGUUUAAAAGGGCCCGCCUUGGAGAUCGUUCAAGCUGUUCGUAUGACUGAACCAGAUGCUAGCCCCCAUGACUACAUAGAGGCCAUAGAGAGCAUUUUUGGUACUGUAGAGUCUGGAGAAGAACUUUAUUUGUCAUUCAGAUCUCUUCAUCAGCAGCCUGGUGAAAGCUUAUCUGAUUUUCUGAGAAGAUUAGAGAGGUCUCUUGUUAAAGUUGUGCAAGCAGGUGGUUUACCUGUUAGUUCUGCUAACAAAGCCAGAAUAGAGCAACUUAUUAAAGGUUCAACCUCUGAGCUAAUGUUGCUUCAGUUGAAAAUUAGGGAGCGGAAAGACAACCCCCCAACUUUUUUGAACUUGCUGAGAGAAGUGAUUGAGGAAGAGAGUCGUCAGUCUGCCAAACAAAGCCAAACAGCACCUGUACGUCGUCAACACGUACGCACAAUACAGGCUGAGAAGGAGAAAGAGCCUGAUUCAACCUCCAGGAGUGAACUUGAGGCUCAAAUUCAAGAAUUGAGAGCGCAGCUGGAGAAGAAAAACAGCUCACCAUCUCAGAUGCCAUUCGAUGGUUCUGUCAGUGGACCAAAAGAGAAGAAAAACAAAAAAAUCAAAGGAGAGUCACAGAACGAACUGGAGUCCCUCAGAAAACAAGUUCAAGAUCUGCAAAAUAAAAUGAGCGUAAUGGCAGUGAACUACGCAUCAGCUCCUCAGAGAGAAAAUAUGACACACCCCAGUAAACACAGACCAGCCCAAAUCCACAAACCUGCUCCAUUCAAAGCUUCAUUGUCAAGAGGUUCUGAUGAGUAUUUUUGUUACAAGUGUGGAGAAAAUGGUCAUAUUGCUACGAGAUGCACUGGAGCUGAAAACCCACAGAAAGUCAUAAGAAAGCUCAUUCGUGUAGUACGAGGAGCACCAGAUCCCACUACAGAAAACUCAAAAUCUGCCACAGAUGAGUCGUGUGUCGCGAAUGUCAACAAAAUUGAAGUCCCUGGAAAAGAUGCAAACUUACCUGAAGGUCUUGUAGGUCCAUCAUUCAUUCAUACCAUCAAGGUGAACGAUGUGCCUUGCAAUGCUCUCAUUGACAGUGGAUCUAAUGUGACUAUCAUCUUUGAAAGCUGGUAUAAUGACCAUUUGGCAGAUGUUCCCAUCAAACCCCUCUCAAACCUCGGCCUCUGGGGUCUUGCUGACACAGAUUAUCCAUACAGAGGUUAUGUUGUAGUGGAGAUGGAGUUUGCAAAAGAGAUCACUGGUGUAUCUGGACAAGUCGAGGUGCUUGCAUUGAUCUGCCCUGAGCCAAAAAACCAUCAACAGGCCCCUGUAUUGGUUGGCACAAACACAUCUCUGUUUAGUCGCCUGUGGGAACUGGUGAAGACGGAAAAUGACAAGGACAUUGUCCACUCAAUGAGAAUUCAGUCAGUCUAUACCCCAGUCAAUGCUCCGACACAGCCGAAAAAAGAGGAAAUCUUGGGACAAAUAAAAUGGAAUGGGCCUGGCCCACUUUCUGUUGCUCCAGGAGCAAAAUACUAUGCUACAUGCAAAGUAGACAGACAGACUGCCCCCUCUAAAGAUUUCGUACUGAUCGAUGCACCCACUGCUCAGUCAUUACCAGCUGGCGUACUGGUACAGCCAGGUGUGCUCCCAAAUGCUACUAUCGAUAGCAACAGUUUCACUGUACUCAUUCAGAAUGAGUCCAAAAAAGCAACCUCUAUACCAGUGGGAACGGUCAUUGCUGAAAUGUAUGCUGUGGACACAGUCACCCCUGUCCAACCAUCUGAGUCAACAGCUGAAGCUAUCGACCCAGAGCUCUUCAACUUUGGAGAUUCCCCGAUCUCCGAGGAGUGGAAGAACCGGCUUCGGCAGAAGAUGGCUGGAAGGAGGAAAGUUUUUUCAUUGCAUGAAUGGGAUGUUGGCUUGGCCACAGGUGUAGAACACCACAUCCGUCUACAUGACACCCGACCUUUCAGGGAGAGGUCAAGGAGAAUCGCUCCUGCAGAUAUUGAUGAUGUGAGACGACACAUACAACAACUGUUGGCGGCUGGGAUUAUAACAGAGUCCCGUAGUCCCUACGCCUCACCAAUUGUUGUUGUGAGAAAGAAAAAUGGAAACAUAAGAAUCUGUAUCGAUUACAGAACACUUAAUAACCGCACCGUACCAGACCAGUACACAAUGCCACGCAUUGAUGACGCUUUGGAUUCGUUGUCAGGCAGCAAAUGGUUCUCUGUAUUAGAUCUACGUAGUGGCUACUACCAGAUUGCAAUGACUGAGGAAGAUAAAGAAAAAACGGCAUUUAUUUGCCCCCUCGGUUUCUAUCAGUUUGAGCGCAUGCCACAAGGAAUCACAGGAGCGCCUGCAACAUUUCAGCGUCUAAUGGAGAAGGCAGUUGGUGACAUGCAUCUUCUGGAAGCAUUGGUAUAUCUGGAUGAUAUCAUUGUUUUUGGAAAAACUCUGGAAGAGCAUGAACAGAGGCUGCUCAAAGUUUUGGACAGACUGGAGGAGAUUGGAUUAAAAGUUUCCAUUGACAAAUGUCAGUUUUGUCAACCUCAGGUCAAAUACGUGGGUCACAUUGUAUCUGCAAAUGGGAUAGCUACUGAUCAGGAGAAGGUGGAAGUGGUGAAAGACUGGAAAGUUCCCACUCACCUAAAACCUCUAAAGUCGUUUCUGGGUUUUUGCUCUUACUAUCGGAGGUUUAUUGCAAAUUACUCCGCUAUCAUUCGCCCCCUCUCUGAACUUACCAAAGGGUAUGCUCCCCUGUGGCAGGACCCUAAGGCCAGAAAGAAAACAGAUUCAAGUAAGGUUUACUUCAAAACAUCAGAGCCUUUCGGAGAGCGGUGGACUCAGACCUGUCAAGAUGCAUUUGAGAAAAUCCGUGACUGCCUGAUCAACGCCCCAGUUUUAGCCUUCGCUGACCCCACAAAAACUUACAUUUUGCAUGUGGAUGCCAGUAUGAAUGGAUUAGGUGCAGUCCUGAACCAAGAAUACCCCGAAGGCCUUCGACCUGUUGCUUUCGCAAGUCGAAAGCUAAAAGACUCAGAACAAAACUACCCAGUCCAUCAAUUGGAGUUUCUGGCAUUAAAAUGGGCUGUUGUGGACAAAUUCCAUGACUACUUAUAUGGUGCAAAAUUCAUUGUCAGGACUGAUAAUAACCCACUAACAUAUGUGUUGACUUCAGCCAAGCUCAGUGCAGUUGGUCAUCGCUGGCUUGCUGCUCUGGCCACAUAUGAUUUCACCAUUCAGUACCGUCCUGGGCGACACAACAUCGACGCUGAUUUAUUGUCCCGUCAGUACGCCCCAGGAGAUGAAAAAGAUUGGGUGAGCAUUCAACCUGCUGGGGUUAAAGCUCUCUGCAAACGGGCCACUGUAAGUGAAGAAGCAGAGGCACCAGACCGGUUGGUGGAUCAGCUUGGAGCUCCUGGCAUGGUGGUGCCUGAUGCUUUUGUGUUCCCAGUGAAUCUCAGCAUGAGCGCACUUGACCAGUUGAGCCCAAAAGAAAUUCAGACAUCACAAGAUUUGGAUCCCAUAAUUGGACCAGUCAAGAAAGCAGUUGAAACCAAACAGAAACUGAAUCACUCGAAAAGUGAUCCGCCAGAGAUUCUUUUGCUCCUCCGUGAAAGCAGCAAACUGGAAUCUAAGGAUGGAGUACUUUAUAGAUUGAAAGAAAAACCAUGUGGAAAACAAAUAAAACAGCUUGUCUUGCCAUCAAGAUAUCGGCCCAUGGUUUUAAGAUCACUGCAUGAUGACUGUGGACACAUGGGUGUCGAGCGAACCAGAGAAUUGGUCAAUGAUCGAUUUUAUUGGCCACGCAUGGCAGCUGAGGUUGAGGAGUACAUUAAAACAUGUGGGAGGUGCAUAACCAGGAAGACGCUCCCUCAACGUGCCGCGCCGCUGAAUCAGAUCACCAGUAAUGGUCCUUUGGAUCUUGUCUGUAUUGAUUUUUUACAGAUUGAGCCAGAUUCCAAAGGUGUUGCUAAUGUGUUGAUCGUGACAGAUCACUACACACGUUACGCACAGGCGUUUCCUACCAAAGAUCAAAAAGCCAUCACUGUUGCAAAAGUAUUGUGGGAGAAAUAUUUUGUGCACUACGGCCUGCCGGCUAGGAUACACUCAGACCAAGGCAGAGAUUUUGAAAGUCGGUUAGUGAAAGAGUUGUUAUCCAUGUUGGGAAUCCGAAAAUCACGAACAUCCCCUUACCAUCCACAGGGCGAUGCGCAACCAGAAAGAUUCAAUCGCACUCUCCUAGCGAUGAUUGGCACUUUGGAUACUGUAAAAAAGCAAUGCUGGAGCCAGCAUAUCAGUCAUCUUGUACAUGCUUAUAACAGUACUAAAAAUGAUGCCACUGGAUUUUCGCCAUACUUACUCAUGUUUGGCCGAGAAGCAAGACUGCCCAUAGACAUCUGUUUUGGGAUCUCACCGGAUGGUGAAAGUGAAUCUUCUCAUCAACAGUACAUCGUUAAGAUGAGAAAAGAUCUCCAGAAAGCCUACGAGCUGUCCUCGGAAGCAGCUACAAAGAGUCACCUAAAAAACAAAGCUCGUCAUGAUCAACGAGUGAGAGAUCAGCCAUUGGACAAAGGGGACAGAAUUCUCAUCCGGAAUGUUGGGAUAAAAGGCAAACAUAAGCUCCAAAAUCGAUGGAAGUCAACUCCAUAUGUCGUUGUGGAAAAGCUACCCAACCUACCGGUAUACAGAGUUAAACCAGAAUAUGGUUCCGGCUCGACCAAAACCUUGCAUCGAGAUCAUCUGUUGCCAAUCGGUUAUCUGGUCAGGAUGUCAGAUCCUCCUGAGGAAGAAGAACCCGUCCGGAGACCUGUCACCAGAUCGCUUCGUAACCGACAAAACCAAAGAACAACUCAGCCUACUCAAACAGAGGAUGAUACUGCAUCAUCAGAUUCUGAGCUGGAAACCACUCAUGUUCCUUGGGAAUUUGAUGUGGAUGAAGUCAGGAGACAAUUGAAUAAACAAAAUCCGGAUCCUAAUGAAACUGAGAGCAGUAAAAGCUCAGAGGAGGAUGGAAGUUCUCAAGAGGAGAACCCAGACAUGCCGGAAAAUCAACCUACUGAAGAAAGUGAGAAUGAAGAAUCUUCUGAAAGCUCUACACCUUCUGAAGUGGAUUCUGAAGCUCAAGAAACAAAUCCCUCUGCAGAAGAACAAGAUUCAGAAGGGGGAGCAACAACACCCUCUUCAAGCAGAGCCAGAAAUGACAGAUCACAUGAAAGUUCAAGACGAAAACAUAAACAGUGUUCCCCUGUUCGAAAAUCUCAUAGAGAAUCAAAACCGCCCAUGCGAUUUACUUAUGACAAACCUGGUUAUCCAUCCAGUGAACCAGUUACCAUUAUGCAUCAUGGCAUGGUUAUUCAACUAAAGCUAGACCCUCAAGACCAAACCUAUAAGACACCUAGACAGAAACAUAAAACAUCCAUGAAAAUCUCAGAACAUGAGACAAAGAAACAUGUUUCUAAGACAAAGAAAAGGGAAAAGGUGUGAUGAGGACAUCUACACGGUUAGAAGGGGGAGGGUGUAGCCCUGUCCAAUUAGACACAUGCAUAAAAGACAUUUAAAAGGCAUAAAAAGACAAUCAGAUUUCAUAAAUGUUUAAAAAUGAGUGAUUUUGUAUGUAAAUAAGUUAAAAGAGCCACAAAGUUCAUUCAGUUAAAAAACAUAGAAUUCAUUUGAAAUGUAUUUACAGUGUAAAAUGUAUAAAGUUCAUUUAUGUGUGAAAUUGAAAGAGAUGAAUAAGUUUUGGUUUCAUUGUUUCCUUAAAAGAUGUGCACACUAUCUUGAUUUUGUUUCAGUUGUCACUCAUGGUGUUUUUUUGUUGUCACUGGUUUGGUUGUGACUUAAUAGCCAAUCAGAGAUCUUCUUUUGCGUAAGGGGCGGGACAAGUGGCGCACGGUGCUGUAACAGGAAGAAAAAAUAGAUCUCUCUCAUGUCAGCCGUGAUCCGCGAGGAAACAUCGUGAUUUGUGGAGAACAUUCAAGUUAUAUGGAAGAUUGACUCCCAGUUGAUCCAGAGUGUGACUGUUGUGAUCUGCAUCAGAUGUGGACUGAGAGAGAGCCGGUUGGAGCGUCGACCAGAGGCCCGGCGGAGUUUCUGCUGUUUCUUCAGUGUUAUCUUCAGUUUCGUUUCUUCAAUGAUAUCUUCAGCUUCGUUUCUUCAGUGAUCUGAGUUUGUUU
Salarias fasciatus (jewelled blenny) is the source of this 8449-nucleotide RNA transcript. RefSeq lists it as uncharacterized. The record is from RefSeq and is a predicted model, not a curated record. Lineage: Eukaryota; Metazoa; Chordata; Actinopteri; Blenniiformes; Blenniidae. The transcript has 2 exons.